This 512-nucleotide ribosomal RNA is filed under the name Synalpheus sp. BOC-175c. RNAcentral describes it as "partial 16S ribosomal RNA". It matches the Rfam family "Bacterial large subunit ribosomal RNA", at positions 1825 to 2597 of the family's 2925-position model. Lineage: Eukaryota; Metazoa; Arthropoda; Malacostraca; Decapoda; Alpheidae. The record is from RNAcentral.
GUCUAUAUGAAGUUAUAAAUAUAUAGUCUGGCCUGCCCACUGAAUUGUAUUUAAAGGGCUGCGGUAAUUUGACCGUGCAAAGGUAGCAUAAUCAAUAGUCUUUUAAUUGGAGGCUUGAAUGAAAGGUUGGACAGAUAGAAAGCUGUCUUGAUAUUUUAUAUUGAAUUUAACAUUUGUGUGAAAAGGCAUAGAUAAUUUGGGGGGACGAUAAGACCCUAUAAAAUUUAACAUAUAUGAAUUAUUUUUUUUAAAAGUUAAUUAAUUUAUAAAGUGAUUUAAGGUGUUUUGCUGGGGCGGCAUUGAUAUAAUUUGUAACUGUCAUUAUAAUUUAAUAUAGAUUUAUAGGUUAUGGUCCUUUAUUAAGGAGCAAAGAUUAAGUUACUUUAGGGAUAACAGCAUAAUUUUUUCUGAGAGUUCUUAUCGAAGAAAUAAGUUGUGACCUCGAUGUUGAAUUAAAAAAUCCUCUGGAAGCAGAAGUUUAGCGGGAAGGACUGUUCGUCCUAUAAAUUUUU